GACGAACGCUGGCGGCGUGCUUAACACAUGCAAGUCGAACGGAAAGGCCCUGCUUUUGUGGGGUGCUCGAGUGGCGAACGGGUGAGUAACACGUGAGUAACCUGCCCUUGACUUUGGGAUAACUUCAGGAAACUGGGGCUAAUACCGGAUAGGAGCUCCUGCUGCAUGGUGGGGGUUGGAAAGUUUCGGCGGUUGGGGAUGGACUCGCGGCUUAUCAGCUUGUUGGUGGGGUAGUGGCUUACCAAGGCUUUGACGGGUAGCCGGCCUGAGAGGGUGACCGGCCACAUUGGGACUGAGAUACGGCCCAGACUCCUACGGGAGGCAGCAGUGGGGAAUAUUACACAAUGGGCGGAAGCCUGAUGCAGCAACGCCGCGUGCGGGAUGACGGCCUUCGGGUUGUAAACCGCUUUCGCCUGUGACGAAGCGUGAGUGACGGUAAUGGGUAAAAAAGCACCGGCUAACUACGUG
Molecule: ribosomal RNA, 468 nt
Filed under: uncultured bacterium
Lineage: Bacteria
Description: partial 16S ribosomal RNA
Rfam family: Bacterial small subunit ribosomal RNA
Source: RNAcentral